This 216-nucleotide ribosomal RNA is filed under the name uncultured bacterium. Its description in RNAcentral is "partial 16S ribosomal RNA". It matches the Rfam family "Bacterial small subunit ribosomal RNA", at positions 118 to 351 of the family's 1533-position model. The record is from RNAcentral.
UGGGAACGUGCCUUUUGGUUCGGGACAACUCAGGGAAACUUGAGCUAAUACCGGAUGUGCCCUUCGGGGGAAAGAUUUAUCGCCAUUAGAGCGGCCCGCGUCUGAUUAGCUAGUUGGUGAGGUAAAGGCUCACCAAGGCUUCGAUCAGUAGCUGGUCUGAGAGGAUGAUCAGCCACACUGGGACUGAGACACGGCCCAGACUCCUACGGGAGGCAG